Molecule: ribosomal RNA, 366 nt
Filed under: uncultured bacterium
Lineage: Bacteria
Description: bacterial SSU rRNA
Rfam family: Bacterial small subunit ribosomal RNA
Source: RNAcentral
UGGACAAUGGGCGAAAGCCUGAUCCAGCAAUUGCCGCGUGAAGUGAUGAAGGCCUUCGGGUUGUAAAGCUCUUUUACCAGGGAUGAUAAUGACAGUACCUGGAGAAUAAGCUCCGGCUAACUCCGUGCCAGCAGCCGCGGUAAUACGGAGGGAGCUAGCGUUGUUCGGAAUUACUGGGCGUAAAGCGCACGUAGGCGGCUACUCAAGUCAGAGGUGAAAGCCCGGGGCUCAACCCCGGAACUGCCUUUGAAACUAGGUAGCUAGAAUCUUGGAGAGGUCAGUGGAAUUCCGAGUGUAGAGGUGAAAUUCGUAGAUAUUCGGAAGAACACCAGUGUCGAAGGCGACUGACUGGACAAGUAUUGACGC